UACGUAGGGUGCGAGCGUUAAUCGGAAUUACUGGGCGUAAAGUGUGCGCAGGUGGCCGCGCAAGUCGAGUGUGAAAUCCCCGAGCUUAACUUGGGAAUUGCGCUCGAAACUACGUGGCUCGAGUGUGGCAGAGGAAGGUGGAAUUCCACGUGUAGAGGUGAAAUUCGUAGAUAUUCGCAAGAACACCAGUGGCGAAGGCGGCUCACUGGCCCGAUACUGACGCUGAGGCACGAAAGCGUGGGGAGCAAACAGG
RNAcentral lists this ribosomal RNA (253 nucleotides) under uncultured bacterium. RNAcentral's name for it is "partial 16S ribosomal RNA". It matches the Rfam family "Bacterial small subunit ribosomal RNA", at positions 524 to 776 of the family's 1533-position model. The record is from RNAcentral.